GUAUAUGUUUGGAUUUAUGGCAAGCCUGUCCCCGUGGGCCAAUCCUAGUAUUCUAUGCCAGAGAAAACUGUGGCCUUGAACCAUUGCUUGGCCUCUAUGCCCAUAGGCUGCUGGCACUGAGGUGGGCUGCACAGUG
RNAcentral lists this small nucleolar RNA (136 nucleotides) under Castor canadensis (American beaver). Its description in RNAcentral is "Small nucleolar RNA SNORA42/SNORA80 family (ENSCCNG00000002733.1)". It matches the Rfam family "Small nucleolar RNA SNORA42/SNORA80 family". From Rfam's summary of the family: The members of this family belong to the H/ACA class of snoRNAs that guide the sites of modification of uridines to pseudouridines. Lineage: Eukaryota; Metazoa; Chordata; Mammalia; Rodentia; Castoridae. The record is from Rfam by way of RNAcentral.